RNAcentral lists this ribosomal RNA (429 nucleotides) under uncultured Enterobacteriaceae bacterium. RNAcentral's name for it is "bacterial SSU rRNA". It matches the Rfam family "Bacterial small subunit ribosomal RNA", at positions 355 to 774 of the family's 1533-position model. The record is from RNAcentral. Lineage: Bacteria; Pseudomonadati; Pseudomonadota; Gammaproteobacteria; Enterobacterales; Enterobacteriaceae.
UGGGGAAGUAUUGCACAAUGGGCGCAAGCCUGAUGCAGCCAUGCCGCGUGUAUGAAGAAGGCCUCGGGUUGUAAAGUACUUUCAGCGGGGAGGAAGGUGUUGAGGUUAAUAACCUCAGCAAUUGACGUUACCCGCAGAAGAAGCACCGGCUAACUCCGUGCCAGCAGCCGCGGUAAUACGGAGGGUGCAAGCGUUAAAUCGGAAUUACUGGGCGUAAAGCGCACGCAGGCGGUCUGUCAAGUCGGAUGUGAAAUCCCCGGGCUCAACCUGGGAACUGCAUUCGAAACUGGCAGGCUAGAGUCUUGUAGAGGGGGGUAGAAUUCCAGGUGUAGCGGUGAAAUGCGUAGAGAUCUGGAGGAAUACCGGUGGCGAAGGCGGCCCCCUGGACAAAGACUGACGCUCAGGUGCGAAAGCGUGGGGGAGCAAACA